Molecule: non-coding RNA, 3818 nt
Organism: Chlorocebus sabaeus (green monkey)
Lineage: Eukaryota; Metazoa; Chordata; Mammalia; Primates; Cercopithecidae
Source: RefSeq, a predicted model, not a curated record
CCUCACAUAAACCGUCCACCUCGGCCUCCCAAACCGCUGGGAUUACAGGCAUGAGCCACUGCGCCUUACCUAUUUUUCCCUUUUCCCAGGUUUGUACAGCCCCUAAUUUGUCCCAGUGUUUAUCCCACAUGACUAGAGUAAAUCAUGACUGGACGAAGGUCAUAUUCCCUCACAGUUAUUAUUUUGAACACUUACUUUUUGUAAUUAGGUAUUCAUUUGAGAUUUAUUUCUCUCCACCAGAUUGGAACUCCAUGAAGGUGUGAUUAUGCAUAUUUUUGAUGACCACAGUAUCCCCUGGCAUACCGUAGGCACCUAACAUUGACCAAAAGCCUCCUAGCCUUUGCAAAGGCUUGCCUUUUUCUAAUCUAUGUCCAUCCUGCCACCAGAGUGAUCUUAAAAGGAUUCCUGUGUUUGAAGAGCAAAUGCCUUCAAUAUGCCAGGCAUAGUAUCAAUUGCUUUACAGAAUCCAUCAAGAACACUAUGAGAGACAACCAAUAGUAUGAAAAAACCAGCAUGCAAUCACCAAAAUCCAAACUAAGAAAAACUCUACAAAGUGAACAACACUUCUUCAACAAAUAUAUUGCAAGAGGGCAGAGAGAUGCUGAUAAACCAGUAAGUGAGUGAACCCAAACCUGCAGCUUCAGCAUCACCUGGGAAUUUGUGAACAACACUUCUUCAACAAAUAUAUUGCAAGAGGGCAGAGAGAUGCUGAUAAACCAGUAAGUGAGUGAACCCAAACCUGCAGCUUCAGCAUCACCUGGGAAUUUGUUAGAGAUGCAAAUUCCCAGACUCCACAGCAGACUUACAGAUCACCACAUCUGGAGUGGGGCCCAGCAGUUUGUAUUUGAACAAGGCUCUAGUGAUUCUGAUACACUCUAGUUUGAGGACCACAACAAUAGAAGAAAUGUAGGAUGCAUAUCAGCCAGCUGCAAUAUUCAGUACCUUAUUUGGUUCCUUGUUCCAAAAAACUGCCAAAACUUUUUACAUCUAUAGACAACAUAUAAUAUUAAGAAAUUGUCCAUUUUCUUAGGUGUAAAAAUGGUAUUAAGAUUAUACAUAUUUUUUAAAGCCCUAAAAUACUUACAGAUGAUAAGAUUUGCUUCCAAAUAAUACAGAAAGGGCAAAAGCAGGUGCGGUUACAGAUGACACAAAUUAGCUAGGAGCCAAUAAUUGUCAAAGGUGGAGGAUGGGUUACCUAGGUGUUCUUUAUUCAUUCCUCUCUCUCUCUCUCUCUCUCUCUCUCUCUAUAUAUAUAUAUAUAUAUAUAUAUAUAUAUAUAUAAAAUAGUAUAUUUUUGAGAUUUUUUUAUUCUAAAAUUUUUUUAAAACUCAAACCAGAAUAAAUUAAAACAAAAGAUUGUGACUUAAGCAGAAUUAAUCCGAAAGAAGAGAAAGUAUAUAGUACUUUUACUUAAAGGGCAGUAUUGAAAUACAUAAAAUAAGUAUAAAUAGUCUGAAAAAAACCUACUCCAUACUAGUUUGUGGCAAAAUGCUUUUGUUUAAGAAGUAAGGGAGAUCUAGAUGCUCUAUCAAUUGUCUGAUGUCAUUUUAAAUAACUGGCCCCAUUGGAGAGAAUGACUUACCUGGGAAGAAAGAGGUCCAGUCUGGUCAAGGGCAUAUGAAUACCUACACAUAUUUGUUUUCCAAUUUCCAAACUAGCUUAGCUUUUAGAAUGUAACCUGUUAAUAAACUCAGGUUUACCAUCAUUUUUAAAAGUUUACCACUUUAGCAUAUUAUGAUUGCAACCUGAGUAGACUAAUGCAGAUAUUAGUAACGGCUGUUUUUUUUCCCCUAGACAGGAGACAAUCCAUCUCUUACAUAGGGAAAAUAACCAAAUUAUGUGUUAUGAGAGAGGUUCAGAGGCCUGUCUUGAAAUGUCAUCUCCAGUGAUCUGGUGAUGCUGUGGACCUAGAGUGUCAUCCAAAUAACUAGUCUUGAAAUUUCUUCAGGACAAGAAAUUUUUAAAAAACGAAUUGUGAGGCUACAGUAGCCCUUAAUAACUCCUUAAAUUUAAUUGUUGUGACAGGUUUACUUCCUCUGUAAUAUAUCUUUGUUAUUGUGCUUUUAAGAAUAGAGUGAAUAUUCAUAAGCAGAAUAGUUCAGAAAAAAAUUUAAAAGAAUUUUUUAAUGAUAUAGGGUGAAUAGAUGUAAUCUCUCCUUUUUAACUUCUCCCUCUUAUUUAUUCUUUAGCAUGGAAACAUAAUUUGUAUAUGAAAACCUGGUCCAUAAGAAAUCUGAUUGGAAAGCACCAACUUCAAAGCCUCAGGGUAUGAGUGAUAGAGUGUGCUAUACAUUCUCACUUUAAAAAGGUGAUGGCAGAAUUCUGAGGAUGGUUUCAUGUUUUAUUUUAGAUAUUUCGUAUUUGUCAUUAUUGUUAUUAUAAGCAUAAUUUUCUUCAUUAUCAUUCAAAUUAUUAAUUUGCUUAGAGUGGUCAAUGAUAUGGAGAAAAGACCAUUAAAAGUCAUCACCAUCCAUUAUCAGACAUCAUUCUGAUAAAAGUAGUCUCAAAAUAGGGACUUCUGUUCCCUUUCAUCUGCUUUGAGCUCCUGCUGUGUUCCCACCCAUGUUGACUACUUUGUAAAAAGGAGAAAAAAAAAGACAAAGUCCAACUUUAGAGAGCUCUAGUUGAGGAGAUGAGGUGAUGAGAAGAGAAUCACCACAUACCUAUGAGGAGGCUGCAAUAGAGAGCUUGACAGCCUGGACUGUUCGGCUUUACACUGGUUGAAUUCCAAUCCUGACUGCCACUCAAUAGCUCUGUGAUGCGGAGCAAGUUACUAACCUCCCCUGCCCCAGUUUCCUCAUCUGGUAAAUGAAAGUAAGAACAGUAAUUACCUUGUAGAGUUGUCUUGGGAUAAUCCUUAACUUAGAUAAUCCAUAAAACACUCAAAUUUAUCCAUAUAUACAUCCAUAUAUUUUAUUUCUCUGUUGACCACUGUUUCUUGUAUCCCUUACCUUUGCCUUGGGCAGACUCUUCUUUUUUGUCCUUGAAAUAUAACCUUUAAUAAUUCAAUUCUCUUAGUUUUAUAUGUCUAAACAUGUCUUUAUUUUGCCUCCAAUAUUGUGCAUAAAAUUCUAAGUUGACACUUAUUUUCCUCAGCACUUUGAAGAUAUUUUUCCACUGUCUUCUGGACUUUACAGUGCUGAUAAGAAAGAAGCUUACUGCUGGUUUAACAAUGAUUGCUUUGAAAAUUAUGUAUUUUUUUCUUACUGGUAGAAUACUCACAUUUAAGUAGACAUUUGAUGAAUGUGCAUAUUUAUUGAUAAGACUCCACACAGGACUCCUAAUUCCAUAGAUUAUAGGGGAGGAUCAUGGUACAAACAUCCUCCUCCCUUAUGAAGGGGCAUGGCAGAAACUGAAGGCUAUUGUGACUAAAAGGAAGCUCUGCAAGAUUAAUAACAUAUAACCAUAACCUUGCCUCCAAGGGGGAUCUAAGAGUGUCCCCACAAGAAUCUGAGAGACUGUAAGAGGAUAUGAAGAGAACAGCUGAGGACCCUUAUUUUUAUUUAUUUAUUUAUAUUUAAUUUUUUUUUCAGACAUCAGUGUUACUUGCCAAGACCCUCAUUUUUAAACUCCCACGAGUUAUUACGUUCCUUUCCACUCUUGCUUUCCAAUUCCUACACUAGGACAAGUCUGUAUUUUGAGUAUAUGAGUCAAGUAUGGCAAAAACUACAGUACUUUAAAAACUUUUAUUUUAGUCCUUCCUGGCCCAUGCUAAAACUUACAUCUAGAAAUAUGGCAAAACAAAAUGAAACAGAUCUCUCCUUGUACAUAAAAUAGCUAAAAAUUUGGCCUCUUUAUUGAUCUUAUGUCAUAUAUUU